UGCAUUUUGUGCUGGAAUCCUUGUAGUCGUAAGCAAUGCAGCCUGCAUGAGCGGUGAUACAAAAGUGAAACCGGGUACAGAGCCUAAAGGUUGUUACUUGCCUUGACUGUACAUGUGAUUCUAAUGGAAAAUACGAAUGCUGCACAGCUUACGGUAAACCAGUAAACUAUGAUAAGGAGAGAUGCAAAUUCGUGUUUGACCGGAAAAACUGUGUCUACAACCUGAUUCCAAAUGAAGAUCCAACCAAACAGUGUGAAUCUUACGGAAUGGUGGGCUAAACAUAUUGUCUGCAAUGUCUACCUCAGUACUUAUCUCUAUAGAGGACGAUGGUCAAAUGUAUUUACCAUCAGCAAGUUAAACGGGUUGUCCCACAAAAAAUAUUUUGUAAUUGCAUGUAAUUCAAAAUUUUGGAUGAGUUAUUCAAUAAAAUGUAUCUGGAUAGCGCCA
Bufo gargarizans (Asiatic toad) is the source of this 447-nucleotide long non-coding RNA. RefSeq lists it as uncharacterized. The record is from RefSeq and is a predicted model, not a curated record. NCBI's taxonomy places the organism in Eukaryota, Metazoa, Chordata, Amphibia, Anura, Bufonidae. The transcript is spliced from 3 exons.